GACGAACGCUGGCGGCGUGCUUAACACAUGCAAGUCGAGCGGUAAGGCCCUUUCGGGGAUACACGAGCGGCGAACGGGUGAGUAACACGUGGGUGACCUGCCCUCAGCUCUGGGAUAAGCCUGGGAAACCGGGUCUAAUACCGGAUAUGACUCCAUGACGCAUGUUGUGGGGUGGAAAGCCUUGUGCGGCUGAGGAUGGGCCCGCGGCCUAUCAGCUUGUUGGUGGGGNGAUGGCCUACCAAGGCGACGACGGGUAGCCGGCCUGAGAGGGCGACCGGCCACACUGGGACUGAGACACGGCCCAGGACUCCUACGGGAGGCAGCAGUGGGGAAUCUUGCGCAAUGGGCGAAAGCCUGACGCAGCGACGCCGCGUGAGGGAUGACGGCCUGGU
Molecule: ribosomal RNA, 392 nt
Filed under: uncultured bacterium
Lineage: Bacteria
Description: bacterial SSU rRNA
Rfam family: Bacterial small subunit ribosomal RNA
Source: RNAcentral